Corvus hawaiiensis (hawaiian crow) is the source of this 2840-nucleotide long non-coding RNA. RefSeq lists it as uncharacterized. The transcript has 2 exons. The record is from RefSeq and is a predicted model, not a curated record. NCBI's taxonomy places the organism in Eukaryota, Metazoa, Chordata, Aves, Passeriformes, Corvidae.
CUGAUUUCUGUGUUGGAGAGGGAAGACAGUUUGAGACAAACUUUGUAAUUUUCUUCCAGAACAAAUUACUUAAAUGCAGAACUUUGGGAAGUUAGUCUUGGUGCUCCCUCCCUCCCUUCCCCUACUUUAGAGAGGGGGGGGGAAAAAAAAAAAAAAAAUCUCAUUUUAACCUAUUUUAGCAAGACUAUAAGAUGAUAACUGGGCAAUUUCUUAUUGUUAGUUGGAAACCACCAGAAAUACCAAACCCAGGUUGCUUUGGAGAAGAACCACCUGGAUUUGUGAUAGCACUGGGUUAUUACCCAAAGAUUAUCUAUUGACAAAAGCAAUGCAGCAUUUACUUAGAGGUAAGGCCAGCAUUUCUUGCCAUUAACGAAAAUAUCUAAAUUCCUGAGAGCAUUUUACAGGCUGUACUUGUUCAGAGAAAACAGCAGUGCCCUAUAGCAGCUGCUUUGUGUUUCAUAGAUAUUCAUGUAACUAAAAAUUGUUUUACACUCUGAACCACCAAACAUUACUGUUUGUAGGAUCUUAUAUUUCCAGAUUUCCCACUUCUCUGGGAACAAGCAACAUGAAACCUUGUGUGUUUGAAGGGGACAGCUUUUCUCCAUCGAGUACAUUUUAAAGAGACUGCUGCCUCCAGAUCAUUUCACCUGUUCCAGUAACAGGCUGGAGAAGCACUGGUCUGGAUUUUUAACCAGGUGCAGUAAAGAUGUGUGAGAAAUGGAUUUUCCCAGGCAAGAGCGAGGACCCUCUUUUCCACCAUGGUACAUUCCACAUCAUCAUCAAUUAGCACCACGUCCUUUUUCAGAGCUUUGAUAGCAAAGAAUUCGUUCUUCCCUUUCAGCUCGGCAAGCAGAACCUCCAAAAAAUAAAAGGUGAGAGUACAGCACACGUAGGAAAGACUGGUGCUGAUGUAUCAGUGCAGGAAAGCCAAAGGUGUUCACAGCAGGUGCACUGACAAUUCAAAAAACCACAUCUAAAUGGGAAAGAUGAGGGAGAUUUGGGAAGGUGAAGCUGCUGGACACUGAGAUGAGGAGAUGGGGCUCAAGGACCACACAGCACAGGCUCAGCAGUUUUUCUGUCAAUGUCUUGUGAGCGUAUAAACAGCAGCCAUGUAAAGCCUGUUCUGUCACUAGAGCUGUAGCUCCAGAGACAGCAGUGGACAGAGCCUGUGGAGGUCGCACUGCUCUCUCAGACAUCCCCUGCCAUUGCACUGGGGCCUUGUGAGGCUGUUUCUGUUUGGAGGGAACAGAACUAAAAGAUCCAUAUCCGUACUGUGUGCAUUAAAGGGCAGUUCCUCUGCCUCGAUACUAAACACUGACAAACUGCUGUGCAUGAUGCAUCACCUUUGGGUUUAGACAAGAUCCAGCUGAUGAAAUUCUAGUGUCUUUGACAAAGAUGUCUAUAUACAAUUCUGUCAGAUGAUUACUGACCUAAGAAGCUGUGAGACCUUUCUGGUUAAAGGAAAUAGCCCAUCACAUUGCAGAGACCAAGCGAGGCAGACACCUUAAGCUCUCAGUGUGUCACAUACCUUUCCAAAGCUUCCUUUCCCCAGCACUUUGUGGAAGACAAAGCUGUCUAUGUUGAAUUUUCUCCUUGCAAUUCUUGACACUGUCUCAGCUGUGCGGCCCUCCCAGAGCUUAUCAUACUCACUGUUAUCUGCUGAGCAAAACAGGGAGGGGAAAGUUCAGUGCAUGCAGGAACACUGCAGGACUCAGAGCCCUGGGUAGGAAUUAGGUACUAACAUAGUAUAUUUCAAUGCAUCUGCUGCUGGAAUUACUGGUGAACCUAAGCAUAAGGGGCAACUCCUGUGUAAGCUUUUUGUGUGGCCAGGAGAUGGUAAAAUGAAAUACAUGCUGCUUUUUUAAACAGCACUUACUAAAAAAUCCUGUCUAACACAAGGCAGGAAUGAACAACGACUUAAAUUGUCUGGUAGGUAAGUGGCUGUAUUGAAACAUUGAUUGUUUUCUCACCUGUUGUGUCUCCUCCUGGAGCUUUAUGUUUCUUAUCAAAAUCCUGAUAAAUACCAACACUUUCUACAGAUCCAGAAUCAGACCUUCGUGUAGAUUUCUGAGGAGAAGGGGAACAUUUGAAAUUAUAUUAGCACUGUUACUUUAGAAAUAGAGUAAUAGCUUUACAUUUAACAUGAUGGUAGCAUAAACUUUUAAUUAUUAACUCCCAGUAAAUAUCUUUUCUCAAGAAGUCUGGUUCAUAGACUAUUUAGUCACCUUCUUCACAGCUUCACAUCAGCCAUUUGCUUUACUUCCUUCACUGCAAGAAAAUAAAUCACAAAUUCCUGAACAGUCUAUGUUGUAUUGUUCACUGCAAAAUUAUUAAAGGGAUAAUGGUUUGAAUCCACAGUGGGAAGAAUUUGACCUGCGGGAAAAUGUCCCCUUGCAUGUGUGUUCAUGUGAAAGAGGAGAUGGGAAUCACUGUUAUCCUGGACAUGCUGAAGUCAUAUCUUGAUGUGACAUCUGUCUUUAGCACAGGGAAGCCUCUUUUACAUAUGGAAGAUCCCCGAGAUCAAAUUUCAGUAAUGAAAAGAUUGAGCUCCAGUGUCAUGAAAGAGCUGGUGCAACAGCUCUCACUGUUUUCAAAGUAAAUAUCCUGUGAAAGCUUAGGAAUACACAUCUCAGAGGAAGCGCUGUUGGCUUUUGUGAGAGAUUUUCCUGUUUUAUUUCAGAGCUUGUGUCUGAAUCUUUAUUUGCAGAAGCUGACCACAAAAGAAUCAUGCUGGAGCAGGAGAUGAACAAGGCAAGCUAUGGGGCCAGGAUUAAUUCCAGAGGGGUUUUCUGUGUGUGUGUAUAUAUUUGUAUCAGAAGAAUAAAAAUUGAGAAAAUGUG